This 490-nucleotide ribosomal RNA is filed under the name uncultured bacterium. RNAcentral's name for it is "partial 16S ribosomal RNA". It matches the Rfam family "Bacterial small subunit ribosomal RNA", at positions 30 to 507 of the family's 1533-position model. The record is from RNAcentral.
AUUGAACGCUGGCGGCAGGCCUAACACAUGCAAGUCGAACGGUAACAGGGAUCAGCUUGCUGAUUCGCUGACGAGUGGCGGACGGGUGAGUAAUGUCUGGGAAACUGCCUGAUGGAGGGGGAUAACUACUGGAAACGGUAGCUAGUACCGCAUAACGUCGCAAGACCAAAGAGGGGGACCUUCGGGCCUCUUGCCCUCGGAUGUGCCCAGAUGGGAUUAGCUAGUAGGUGGGGUAACGGCUCACCUAGGCGACGAUCCCUAGCUGGUCUGAGAGGAUGACCAGCCACACUGGAACUGAGACACGGUCCAGACUCCUACGGGAGGCAGCAGUGGGGAAUAUUGCACAAUGGGCGCAAGCCUGAUGCAGCCAUGCCGCGUGUAUGAAGAAGGCCUUCGGGUUGUAAAGUACUUUCAGCGGGGAGGAAGGGAGUAAAGUUAAUACCUUUGCUCAUUGACGUUACCCGCAGAAGAAGCACCGGCUAACUCCGUG